GGAGCAUGGUUCAGAGGUAGGGCAUUUGCUUGGCAUGCAGUGGGACCCUGGUUCUAUCCUGGGCAUCUCCA
Molecule: transfer RNA, 71 nt
Filed under: Sphaerodactylus townsendi
Lineage: Eukaryota; Metazoa; Chordata; Lepidosauria; Squamata; Sphaerodactylidae
Description: tRNA-Ala
Source: RNAcentral